GAUGAAGAACGCAGCGAAAUGCGAUAAGUAAUGUGAAUUGCAGAAUUCAGUGAAUCAUCGAAUCUUUGAACGCACAUUGCGCCCGCCAGUAUUCUGGCGGGCAUGCCUGUUCGAGCGUCAUUUCAACCAUCAAGCCCCCGGCUUGUGUUGGGGACCUGCGGCUGCCGCAGGCCCUGAAAUGCAGUGGCGGGCUCGCUGUCACUCCGAGCGUAGUAGUUACAUCUCGCUCUGGGCGUGCUGCGGGCUCCGGCCGUUAAAAGCCUUAUUUACCCAAGGUUGACCUCGGAUCAGGUAGGAAGACCCGCUGAACUUAAGCAUAUCAAUAAGCGGAGGA
This 334-nucleotide unclassified non-coding RNA is filed under the name soil metagenome. Its description in RNAcentral is "partial contains 5.8S ribosomal RNA, internal transcribed spacer 2, and large subunit ribosomal RNA". The stretch from base 1 to 120 matches the Rfam family "5.8S ribosomal RNA", at positions 35 to 154 of the family's 154-position model. The record is from RNAcentral.